Molecule: ribosomal RNA, 407 nt
Filed under: uncultured eukaryote
Lineage: Eukaryota
Description: SSU rRNA
Rfam family: Eukaryotic small subunit ribosomal RNA
Source: RNAcentral
CAAUAGCGUAUAUUUAAGUUUGUUGCAGUUAAAAAGACUCGUAGUUGGAUUUUGGUUUAAGAGGGCGCGGUCGGCCGUUUGGUCUGUACUGCGUUGUCUUGACUUCCUGAUGAGGACAUGCUCUUGGUUAACGCUGAGACAUGGAGUCAUCGUGGUUACUUUGAAAAAUUAAGAGUGUUCAAAGCGGGCUUACGCUUGAAUAUAUUAGCAUGGAAUAACACUAUAGGACUCCUGUCCUAUCUCGUUGGUCUCGGGAUGGGAGUAAUGAUUAAGAGGAACAGUUGGGGGCGAUUCGUAUUUCAUUGUCAGAGGUGAAAUUCUUGGAUUUAUGAAAGACGAACUUCUGCGAAAGCAUUUGCCAAGGAUGUUUUCAUUAAUCAAGAACGAAAGUUGGGGGCUCGAAGACG